AUAUCGAAACGGCAAACCCGGGGAAACCCGGCGGCGCAAAGCUACAGGGGCUACCUCCGCCGCGUGCGGACACGCCAGCCAGUUACCGAA
This 90-nucleotide non-coding RNA is filed under the name Bacillus sp. (in: firmicutes). RNAcentral describes it as "Bacillus sp. c-di-GMP sequence". It matches the Rfam family "c-di-GMP-I riboswitch aptamer". Rfam says of the family: GEMM was predicted in a large-scale screen for bacterial structured RNA regulatory elements. Genes associated with GEMM are involved in a diverse array of functions, including chemotaxis regulation, signal transduction, secretion and chitin. Lineage: Bacteria; Bacillati; Bacillota; Bacilli; Caryophanales; Bacillaceae. The record is from RNAcentral. RNAcentral also lists the same sequence under 1 other name.